This 458-nucleotide ribosomal RNA is filed under the name uncultured bacterium. RNAcentral describes it as "bacterial SSU rRNA". It matches the Rfam family "Bacterial small subunit ribosomal RNA", at positions 328 to 803 of the family's 1533-position model. The record is from RNAcentral.
GAAUUCAACUCCUACGGGAGGCAGCAGUGGGGAAUAUUGGACAAUGGGCGCAAGCCUGAUCCAGCCAUGCCGCGUGAGUGAUGAAGGCCCUAGGGUUGUAAAGCUCUUUCAGCGAGGAGGAUAAUGACGUUACUCGCAGAAGAAGCCCCGGCUAACUUCGUGCCAGCAGCCGCGGUAAUACGAAGGGGGCUAGCGUUGUUCGGAAUCACUGGGCGUAAGGCGCACGUAGGCGGACUUUUAAGUCAGGGGUGAAAUCCCGGGGCUCAACCUCGGAACUGCCUUUGAUACUGGAAGUCUGGAGUCCGAGAGAGGUGAGUGGAACUCCGAGUGUAGAGGUGAAAUUCGUAGAUAUUCGGAAGAACACCAGUGGCGAAGGCGGCUCACUGGCUCGGUACUGACGCUGAGGUGCGAAAGCGUGGGGAGCAAACAGGAUUAGAAACCCUAGUAGUCCAGGCGUU